CCCCUAGACGUUCUGGGCUGCACGCGCGCUACAAUAAUACGCACAGCGAGUAUCACCGAGCUCGAAAGGGCAAGGUAAACAAUAGAAAAGGUACUGUAAUGGUUAUAGAUCCUUGUAAUUAUUGAUCUUCAACGAGGAAUUCCUAGUAAGUAUGUGUCAUCAUCACGCACUGAUUACGUCCCUGCCCUUUGUACACACCGCCCGUCGCUCCUACCGAUUGGGUGAGCCGAUGAAACUCUCGGAUGUAGGCUAUUCAUAGCCCGCAGAAGAGAUUUGAAUCGUAGCGUUUAGAGGAAGGAGAAGUCGUAACA
This 311-nucleotide ribosomal RNA is filed under the name uncultured eukaryote. Its description in RNAcentral is "partial 18S ribosomal RNA". It matches the Rfam family "Eukaryotic small subunit ribosomal RNA", at positions 1470 to 1796 of the family's 1831-position model. The record is from RNAcentral.